GAUGAACGCUGGCGGCGUGCCUAAUACAUGCAAGUCGAACGCUUCACUUCGGUGAAGAGUGGCGAACGGGUGAGUAAUACAUAAGUAACCUGGCAUCUACAGGGGGAUAACUGAUGGAAACGUCAGCUAAGACCGCAUAGGUGUAGAGAUCGCAUGAACUCUAUAUGAAAAGUGCUACGGGACUGGUAGAUGAUGGACUUAUGGCGCAUUAGCUUGUUGGUAGGGUAACGGCCUACCAAGGCGACGAUGCGUAGCCGACCUGAGAGGGUGACCGGCCACACUGGGACUGAGACACGGCCCAGACUCCUACGGGAGGCAGCAGUAGGGAAUUUUCGGCAAUGGGGGAAACCCUGACCGAGCAACGCCGCGUGAAGGAAGAAGUAAUUCGUUAUGUAAACUUCUGUCAUAGAGGAAGAACGGUGGAUAUAGGGAAUGAUAUCCAAG
Molecule: ribosomal RNA, 444 nt
Filed under: uncultured bacterium
Lineage: Bacteria
Description: bacterial SSU rRNA
Rfam family: Bacterial small subunit ribosomal RNA
Source: RNAcentral